Molecule: ribosomal RNA, 468 nt
Filed under: uncultured bacterium
Lineage: Bacteria
Description: partial 16S ribosomal RNA
Rfam family: Bacterial small subunit ribosomal RNA
Source: RNAcentral
GAUGAACGCUGGCGGCGUGCUUAACACAUGCAAGUCGAACGGUGAAGGCGGAGCUUGCUCUGCUGGAUCAGUGGCGAACGGGUGAGUAACACGUGAGCAAUCUGCCCCUGACUCUGGGAUAAGCGCUGGAAACGGCGUCUAAUACUGGAUACGAGCUGCGAAGGCAUCUUCAGCAGCUGGAAAGAAUUUCGGUCAGGGAUGAGCUCGCGGCCUAUCAGCUUGUUGGUGAGGUAGUGGCUCACCAAGGCGUCGACGGGUAGCCGGCCUGAGAGGGUGACCGGCCACACUGGGACUGAGACACGGCCCAGACUCCUACGGGAGGCAGCAGUGGGGAAUAUUGCACAAUGGGCGAAAGCCUGAUGCAGCAACGCCGCGUGAGGGAUGACGGCCUUCGGGUUGUAAACCUCUUUUAGCAGGGAAGAAGCGAAAGUGACGGUACCUGCAGAAAAAGCGCCGGCUAACUACGUG